GACGAACGCUGGCGGCGUGCCUAAUACAUGCAAGUAGAACGCUGAAGGAGGAGCUUGCUUCUCUGGAUGAGUUGCGAACGGGUGAGUAACGCGUAGGUAACCUGCCUGGUAGCGGGGGAUAACUAUUGGAAACGAUAGCUAAUACCGCAUAAGAGUAGAUGUUGCAUGACAUUUGCUUAAAAGGUGCAAUUGCAUCACUACCAGAUGGACCUGCGUUGUAUUAGCUAGUUGGUGGGGUAACGGCUCACCAAGGCGACGAUACAUAGCCGGCCUGAGAGGGUGAUCGGCCACACUGGGACUGAGACACGGCCCAGACUCCUACGGGAGGCAGCAGUAGGGAAUCUUCGGCAAUGGACGGAAGUCUGACCGAGCAACGCCGCGUGAGUGAAGAAGGGUUUCGGAUCGUAAAGCUCUGUUGUAAGAGAAGAACGAGUGUGAGAGCGGAAAGUUCACACUGUGACGGUAUCUUACCAGAAAGGGACGGCUAACUACGUG
This 495-nucleotide ribosomal RNA is filed under the name uncultured bacterium. RNAcentral's name for it is "partial 16S ribosomal RNA". It matches the Rfam family "Bacterial small subunit ribosomal RNA", at positions 28 to 507 of the family's 1533-position model. The record is from RNAcentral.